This 572-nucleotide ribosomal RNA is filed under the name uncultured bacterium. Its description in RNAcentral is "partial 16S ribosomal RNA". It matches the Rfam family "Bacterial small subunit ribosomal RNA", at positions 355 to 919 of the family's 1533-position model. The record is from RNAcentral.
UGGGGAAUUUUGGACAAUGGGCGAAAGCCUGAUCCAGCAAUGCCGCGUGUGUGAAGAAGGCCUUCGGGUUGUAAAGCACUUUUGUCCGGAAAGAAAUCCUUGGCUCUAAUACAGUCGGGGGAUGACGGUACCGGAAGAAUAAGCACCGGCUAACUACGUGCCAGCAGCCGCGGUAAUACGUAGGGUGCAAGCGUUAAUCGGAAUUACUGGGCGUAAAGCGUGCGCAGGCGGUUUGCUAAGACCGAUGUGAAAUCCCCGGGCUCAACCUGGGAACUGCAUUGGUGACUGGCAGGCUAGAGUAUGGCAGAGGGGGGUAGAAUUCCACGUGUAGCAGUGAAAUGCGUAGAGAUGUGGAGGAAUACCGAUGGCGAAGGCAGCCCCCUGGGCCAAUACUGACGCUCAUGCACGAAAAGCGUGGGGAGCAAACAGGAUUAGAUACCCUGGUAGUCCACGCCCUAAACGAUGUCAACUAGUUGUUGGGGAUUCAUUUCCUUAGUAACGUAGCUAACGCGUGAAGUUGACCGCCUGGGGAGUACGGUCGCAAGAUUAAAACUCAAAUGAAUUGACGGGGU